RNAcentral lists this ribosomal RNA (226 nucleotides) under uncultured bacterium. Its description in RNAcentral is "partial 16S ribosomal RNA". It matches the Rfam family "Bacterial small subunit ribosomal RNA", at positions 538 to 763 of the family's 1533-position model. The record is from RNAcentral.
GCGUUGCUCGGAAUGACUGGGCGUAAAGGGCGCGUAGGCGGAUGGCAUAGUCAGACGUGAAAUUCCUGGGCUCAACCUGGGGGCUGCGUUUGAUACGUGUCGUCUAGAGUUUGGAAGAGGGUUGUGGAAUUCCCAGUGUAGAGGUGAAAUUCGUAGAUAUUGGGAAGAACACCGGUGGCGAAGGCGGCAACCUGGUCCUUGACUGACGCUGAGGCGCGAAAGCGUG